RNAcentral lists this ribosomal RNA (460 nucleotides) under uncultured bacterium. RNAcentral describes it as "partial 16S ribosomal RNA". It matches the Rfam family "Bacterial small subunit ribosomal RNA", at positions 338 to 795 of the family's 1533-position model. The record is from RNAcentral.
CCUACGGGAGGCAGCAGUGAGGAAUAUUGGUCAAUGGGCGCAAGCCUGAACCAGCCAAGUAGCGUGAAGGAUGACUGCCCUACGAUUUGUAAACUUCUUUUAUAAAGGAAUAAAGUGAGGCACGUGAUCAUUUUUGUAUGUACUUUAUGAAUAAGGAUCGGCUAACUCCGUGCCAGCAGCCGCGGUAAUACGGAGGAUCCGAGCGUUAUCCGGAUUUAUUGGGUUUAAAGGGAGCGUAGAUGGGAUGUUAAGUCAGUUGUGAAAGUUUGCGGCUCAACCUGAAAAUUGCAAUUGAUACUGGCAGACUUGAGUACAGUUGAGGUAGGCGGAAUUCGUGGUGUAGCGGUGAAAUGCUUAGAUAUCACGAAGAACUCCGAUUGCGAAGGCAGCUUACUAAACUGCCACUGACACUGAGGCUCGAAAGUGUGGGUAUCAAACAGGAUUAGAUACCCGGGUAGUC